RNAcentral lists this unclassified non-coding RNA (583 nucleotides) under Memecylon sp. RDS-2017a. Its description in RNAcentral is "partial external transcribed spacer". The record is from RNAcentral. Lineage: Eukaryota; Viridiplantae; Streptophyta; Magnoliopsida; Myrtales; Melastomataceae.
GUCUAGCAUGGCUUGCGUUGAUCACAUACUAACGUGUCCGAUGUUUAAUGAGUGGGUUUCCCCUCACGAGCUGAUGGCUAGUUGGUGGUGGUUGAUCUUCCAAUGGGACGACGCAUGAGUGGUGAUUAGGAUGUGCUUUCCAUGCAGGCUCUGCGUAUCGUACGUCGAACUGUGUGGAGCCAAUCGUUUCAGUAAUCCAUUGUGCUUGUCAUUUUCUCGUUGCAAAAUGAUUGGGUGGUUUCUGUGUUGGCUACUGAUUUCGGUAUGCGAGAUUUGAUGGAAUCCAUUGUGAUUUGUUCUUCCGCCAUUGGCUUGUCCAGUGAAGGGGGAUGUUGUAUCGGUCUCCCAUGUUUCACACAAGUUAUCUCCGUGUGGGAGUGGAUUUGUGAUGGCUCAUGGGGUGGCCGUUUAUGGUGCUCUCGGGUAUUGUGAAGUAUUCGGUCGUUGUUCGGGUCUUUCACCCAUGCGUAUCAUUUCUUGAGCAUGUAGCUUUAUUUUGUAGGACCCUCGAGAUUGUCCCUGAGCUCACUGAGUCGUUGUGCUUGUUGCUCAUCAGGGAGAUGACGAGGUCUAUGAGUAAUGC